This 808-nucleotide ribosomal RNA is filed under the name Newportia stolli. RNAcentral's name for it is "eukaryotic LSU rRNA". It matches the Rfam family "Eukaryotic large subunit ribosomal RNA", at positions 706 to 1105 of the family's 3401-position model. The record is from RNAcentral. Lineage: Eukaryota; Metazoa; Arthropoda; Chilopoda; Scolopendromorpha; Scolopocryptopidae.
CCUGAAAGGCGCAAUGAAAGUGAAGGUCGGGCCGUCCCCCGCUCUCGGGCGGGGGCGGUCGACCGAGGCGGGAUCCGAAGGGCGUCCGUUUUUCCCGUUCCUCCUCGACCCCUCCCGGUUUGCCCCUCGCGGGUUUUGCUGGGUGGGGCGGAGGUUUCGGGGCGGCGCCNACNAAUCGGAAACGAAAAGCCGGGUCGGGGAAAUAUCCUCUCCUUCCCGCGGCGUCCUCUCCGGAGGCGUCGCGGGGUCGAGAAACUCCACUUCGCGGUGGAGCGGAAAACAAAACGAACGAGACCCCGCAACCCGGUCGGCGCACCGCCGGCCCGUCUCUACCGCUCAACGUCGGUGAGGCGGAGCAAGAGCGUACACGUUGGGACCCGAAAGAUGGUGAACUAUGCUCGGGCAGGACGAAGCCAGAGGAAACUCUGGUGGAGGUCCGUAGCGAUUCUGACGUGCAAAUCGAUCGUCGGACCUGAGUAUAGGGGCGAAAGACUAAUCGAACCGUCUAGUAGCUGGUUCCCUCCGAAGUUUCCCUCAGGAUAGCUGGCGCUCGGUGAGGAACGCAGUCUCAUCCGGUAAAGCGAAUGAUUANAGGCCUUGGGGCCGAAACGACCUCAACCUAUUCUCAAACUUUCAAUGGGUGAGAAGUCCGGCAUGCUCGACUGAAGCCCGGACGGCAGCCUCGCGAGAGGACUGCGCGUGAAAGCGAAAAACGAAAGACGAAAAAACAAAACCGAAAAAGAAAAAAGGCGAUUUGGAAACCGGGGCUGUUUGCGGUCGCGCGCGGCCCAACAGAAAAAAACCCGCA